AUCUCCUGGAUAUCUUGUUAAAAUGUAGAUUCUGAUGCAGUAGCCGUGAGGAGCUGCCUGAGAUUCCACAUUUCUAACAAGCUCCUAAGAGAGGUUGA
This 98-nucleotide microRNA precursor is filed under the name Ailuropoda melanoleuca (giant panda). RNAcentral's name for it is "mir-544 microRNA precursor family". It matches the Rfam family "mir-544 microRNA precursor family". Lineage: Eukaryota; Metazoa; Chordata; Mammalia; Carnivora; Ursidae. The record is from Rfam by way of RNAcentral.